Molecule: ribosomal RNA, 292 nt
Filed under: uncultured bacterium
Lineage: Bacteria
Description: partial 16S ribosomal RNA
Rfam family: Bacterial small subunit ribosomal RNA
Source: RNAcentral
GUGUCAGCCGCCGCGGUAAUACGUAGGUGGCGAGCGUUAUCCGGAUUCACUGGGCGUAAAGCGCGUGCAGGCGGUUCUGCAAGUCGGACGUGAAAGCUCCUGGCUUAACUGGGAGAGGCCGUUCGAAACUGCGGGGCUUGAGGUCGGGAGAGGGACGUGGAAUUCCCGGUGUAGUGGUGGAAUGCGUAGAUAUCGGGAGGAACACCAGUGGCGAAGGCGACGUCCUGGCCCGCACCUGACGCUGAGACGCGAAAGCGUGGGUAGCGAACGGGAUUAGAUACCCUAGUAGUCC